This 388-nucleotide ribosomal RNA is filed under the name uncultured bacterium. RNAcentral describes it as "bacterial SSU rRNA". It matches the Rfam family "Bacterial small subunit ribosomal RNA", at positions 417 to 793 of the family's 1533-position model. The record is from RNAcentral.
UUCGGGUUGUAAAGGUACUUUCAGCAGUGAGGAAGUGGUGCAGUUAAUAGCUGUAUCAUUUGACGUUUAGCUGCAGAAGAAGCACCGGCUAACUCCGUGCCAGCAGCCGCGGUAAUACGGAGGGUGCGAGCGUUAAUCGGAAUUACUGGGCGUAAAGCGCAUGCAGGUGGUUUGUUAAGUCAGAUGUGAAAGACCCGGGGCGUCAACCUCGGAAUUGCAUUUGAAACUGGCAGACUAGAGUACUGUAGAGGGGGGUAGGAAUUUCAGGUGUAGCGGUGAAAUGCGUAGAGAUCUGAAGGAAUACCGGUGGCGAAGGCGGCCCCCUCGGACAGAUACUGACACUCAGAUGCGAAAGCGUGGGGAGCAAACAGGAUUAGAUACCCUGUAG